RNAcentral lists this transfer RNA (63 nucleotides) under Bostrichoidea sp. 7 KM-2017. RNAcentral's name for it is "tRNA-Phe". Lineage: Eukaryota; Metazoa; Arthropoda; Insecta; Coleoptera. The record is from RNAcentral.
GUUCCAAUAGCUUAUUAGAGUGUAAUAUUGAAGAUGUUAAGGAGAUAUUUUUAUCUUGGAACA